RNAcentral lists this ribosomal RNA (274 nucleotides) under uncultured bacterium. RNAcentral describes it as "partial 16S ribosomal RNA". It matches the Rfam family "Bacterial small subunit ribosomal RNA", at positions 523 to 796 of the family's 1533-position model. The record is from RNAcentral.
AUACGGAGGGUGCAAGCGUUGAUCGGAAUUACUGGGCGUAAAGCGCGCGUAGGCGGCUGAUUAAGUCGGAUGUGAAAUCCCUGGGCUCAACCUAGGAACUGCAUCCGAUACUGGUCAGCUAGAGUUUUGGAGAGGUAAGUGGAAUUUCCGGUGUAGCGGUGAAAUGCAUAGAGAUCGGAAGGAACACCAGUGGCGAAGGCGACUUACUGGCCAAAAACUGACGCUGAGGUGCGAAAGCGUGGGUAGCGAACAGGAUUAGAUACCCUAGUAGUCC